UGAUACGUAGGGUGCGAGCGUUGUCCGGAUUUAUUGGGCGUAAAGGGCUCGUAGGUGGUUGAUCGCGUCGGAAGUGUAAUCUUGGGGCUUAACCCUGAGCGUGCUUUCGAUACGGGUUGACUUGAGGAAGGUAGGGGAGAAUGGAAUUCCUGGUGGAGCGGUGGAAUGCGCAGAUAUCAGGAGGAACACCAGUGGCGAAGGCGGUUCUCUGGGCCUUUCCUGACGCUGAGGAGCGAAAGCGUGGGGAGCGAACAGGCUUAGAUACCCUGGUAGUCCACGCUGUAAACGGUGGGUACUAGGUGUGGGGUCCAUUCCACGGGUUCCGUGCCGUAGCUAACGCUUUAAGUACCCCGCCUGGGGAGUACGGCCGCAAGGCUAAAACUCAAAUGAAUUGACGG
RNAcentral lists this ribosomal RNA (398 nucleotides) under bacterium enrichment culture. RNAcentral's name for it is "bacterial SSU rRNA". It matches the Rfam family "Bacterial small subunit ribosomal RNA", at positions 521 to 916 of the family's 1533-position model. The record is from RNAcentral.